RNAcentral lists this long non-coding RNA (2270 nucleotides) under Equus caballus (horse). Its description in RNAcentral is "lncRNA (ENSECAG00000049211.1)". Lineage: Eukaryota; Metazoa; Chordata; Mammalia; Perissodactyla; Equidae. The record is from RNAcentral.
GGGGCAGUCGGGGUUGGGGGUGGGGGGAGGGUGGUGUUAGGACUCAAUGAUCUGACAGGAGCUCACGGAGGAAGGAACGCCUGAGAGGUGAGGCUGGCAAGGCUGGGGCCAGAGGCAGACCCAUCUGGACUUUGGACUUUACCCUGAGGACCACUGAAGGGGUUUAGGCAGGGGAGGGAGCAGGUCAGAUGUACUUGUCAGCAAGAUCCCUCUGGAUCCCUGGGGCAACUAGCUUGUGGUGAGACAAGAGCGAAGGCCAGAGACCUUCGGAGGCCUUGGGUUGAUAAGGGGUAGCCUGUGGCGGAGAAGAGGGGGCCGAAGGAGGUGUCCUGGAAGAAUCUGGAGCCUGGCUGGCCUGGGGUGGGGGAGGAGGAGCGUCAGGAAGGCGUGAGGUAUGGCGGAGUCGCAGGAGGGGUGAGGGGCUCUGCUGAAGCCUUGGUGAAUUUCCUUCCCGUCCCCAGCAGGCUCUGCAUGGGUCUAAGAAGAGCUUCUGGGUGGUUGGACCUGAGGAGGACAGGCUGAGCUGGUCCUAGGGGGUUCCAGGAGGUGGGGAUGGUCACUCAUUUAUUUGACAAAUAAAAUUUAUGGAGCACCUACCUGUCUGGGGGUUGUUCCAGGAACUGGGGAUACACUGGUGGGCAAAACAGACCUAGCGGGGAAGACGUAAAUAAAUAUAUAUAAAGUAGUGAUAAGUCUUAAGAAAAACUAAGCUGGGAAGCAAGUAGUGAGCGACGGUGGUGGAGGGGAGUCUGUUUCAGAGAGGGUGGUCAGGGAAGGCCUCUUUGAAGAGGUGAGUCCUGAAUAAAAUGAAGGAAUUAGGCACCGAGAUAGCUGGGGGAAAGUGGUCCAGGUGGAGGGCAUAGCAAGUGCCACGGCCCUGAGGCAGGCAUGUGCUUGGUGUGCCAGAGAUGCUGCCCUCAGGAACAUGUCCUUCAUUCACUCAGCAGUCCCAAUGACUGUGGCCAGGGGUCCAGAGGCUGGGAGCUGAGGAAAAAGUAGCUGUGGCCCCCGAGUCCCACCCUGGAGAGAAAGCCCAGCCCCCACUUGGGGCACCUCCAGGCCCUGAGCCCCAGAUGUGUGUGGUCAAGCCUGGGCUAAAGCAAGCCCGGCGUCCUUUGGGAGCUGACCAAGCGGUCUCCAGGAGCUGGGGCCGGCCUUUCUCAAAGCCUCCUUCCUCCCCUCGUGCCCCCAUGGUUGAGGGCUGGCUCCGUGGUCUUGGGUCCAGCUCAGGCUGUGGCAUCAGCCGGCACAGCCGCGCGUGCUGGACGAGGGCUGGGCUGGAGGCCGGAGAGCUGGUCCUCGCCCCGGCCAGCCGUGGCUCAUUCUGUAGCUCCAGCCCCCCUCCCCCUGAGGGCCAGGCUGGACGAAUGACGGGCGUCUCAAAGGCAUGUCCAACAGGGAGCUUUUGAGACCCCCCAAACUGCCCCUCCCCUGGGCGUCCCCCAACGUGGCCACUCACAGCUGCUCCUUCCCGAUGAUCUGGCAAAACCUUAGCCUCAUCGUUCUAGCUCGCGCCCAGCAUCCAGUACGUCAGGAAGUGCUGUCAGCUCUGCCCUGGGAUCUGAAGCCUUCGCCCCACUUCCUGCCUACGACCUGAUCUAACCAACAUCAUUGCUCAGUGGAUUCUUACAGUAGCCUCUGCGGUCGCCCCUUUCAUUCUAUUCCCAGCACAGCAGCCAGAGUGAUUUUAUUAAACAAUAAGUUAGAUCACAUCACUUGUCUGCUCCCCUGUCAAUCUGAGGAAAAGCCACAGUCCUUUAUGACGGCCCCUGUACCAUCUGCAUCCCCUCCCCCCACCUCCCAGGACACAUUCGGCUCCAGUCACACUGGUCUCCUUGUUCUUUGCAUACACAACACACAUGCCUGCCUCAGGGCCUUUGCACGUGCAGUUCCUCUUCCUGUAAUGCUCCCUUCCCCCCAAUAGCUCCAUGGUUUGCUCCUCGCCUUCUUCAGGUCUUCACUCACCUACUACUUCCUCAGACAAGCUUUCAUUAACCACCAUAUUAAAAAUUAUAGGGCAUACCAAGUGCCCAGACCUUGGUUUCUAAUAUCAUUCUACAACAAAAGGAACCAGGGAUUCUUAGAGAAAUGGCUGAUUCUAGGACUGGAGCAGGAAAUACACAAGAUGGGCCUGGAGCAUCUUGUAGUGUCAGAGAGUAAGGAAGUGCUAAAAAAAAAACCCAAAAAACGGAUGGGUCAUGUCAAAGGGACACAGGAGCCACAUGGCAGAGGUCCCAACAGGCAAAGGCGGGACAACUUGAGCAGGAAAA